GUUCCCUUUCCUUACUCCAGGAACUGCAGUUGUCGUGCAGUGUCUUGGCAUUGACUGGGGAUAGAAUAAAUGAAGCUCCUAUACCCGUUUCUAUGGAUUGAAUUUCCUUUAGAAACGGGCGUGUGAGCUUACAAA
This 135-nucleotide small nucleolar RNA is filed under the name Lepisosteus oculatus (spotted gar). RNAcentral's name for it is "Small nucleolar RNA SNORA49". It matches the Rfam family "Small nucleolar RNA SNORA49". Rfam says of the family: The snoRNA ACA49 has no identified RNA target. NB genomic sequence 1-nt different from published. The record is from Rfam by way of RNAcentral. Lineage: Eukaryota; Metazoa; Chordata; Actinopteri; Semionotiformes; Lepisosteidae.